This 1539-nucleotide ribosomal RNA is filed under the name Klebsiella pneumoniae. RNAcentral's name for it is "bacterial SSU rRNA". It matches the Rfam family "Bacterial small subunit ribosomal RNA". The record is from RNAcentral. Lineage: Bacteria; Pseudomonadati; Pseudomonadota; Gammaproteobacteria; Enterobacterales; Enterobacteriaceae.
AAAUUGAAGAGUUUGAUCAUGGCUCAGAUUGAACGCUGGCGGCAGGCCUAACACAUGCAAGUCGAGCGGUAGCACAGAGAGCUUGCUCUCGGGUGACGAGCGGCGGACGGGUGAGUAAUGUCUGGGAAACUGCCUGAUGGAGGGGGAUAACUACUGGAAACGGUAGCUAAUACCGCAUAACGUCGCAAGACCAAAGUGGGGGACCUUCGGGCCUCAUGCCAUCAGAUGUGCCCAGAUGGGAUUAGCUAGUAGGUGGGGUAAUGGCUCACCUAGGCGACGAUCCCUAGCUGGUCUGAGAGGAUGACCAGCCACACUGGAACUGAGACACGGUCCAGACUCCUACGGGAGGCAGCAGUGGGGAAUAUUGCACAAUGGGCGCAAGCCUGAUGCAGCCAUGCCGCGUGUGUGAAGAAGGCCUUCGGGUUGUAAAGCACUUUCAGCGGGGAGGAAGGCGAUAAGGUUAAUAACCUUGUCGAUUGACGUUACCCGCAGAAGAAGCACCGGCUAACUCCGUGCCAGCAGCCGCGGUAAUACGGAGGGUGCAAGCGUUAAUCGGAAUUACUGGGCGUAAAGCGCACGCAGGCGGUCUGUCAAGUCGGAUGUGAAAUCCCCGGGCUCAACCUGGGAACUGCAUUCGAAACUGGCAGGCUAGAGUCUUGUAGAGGGGGUAGAAUUCCAGGUGUAGCGGUGAAAUGCGUAGAGAUCUGGAGGAAUACCGGUGGCGAAGGCGGCCCCCUGGACAAAGACUGACGCUCAGGUGCGAAAGCGUGGGGAGCAAACAGGAUUAGAUACCCUGGUAGUCCACGCCGUAAACGAUGUCGAUUUGGAGGUUGUGCCCUUGAGGCGUGGCUUCCGGAGCUAACGCGUUAAAUCGACCGCCUGGGGAGUACGGCCGCAAGGUUAAAACUCAAAUGAAUUGACGGGGGCCCGCACAAGCGGUGGAGCAUGUGGUUUAAUUCGAUGCAACGCGAAGAACCUUACCUGGUCUUGACAUCCACAGAACUUAGCAGAGAUGCUUUGGUGCCUUCGGGAACUGUGAGACAGGUGCUGCAUGGCUGUCGUCAGCUCGUGUUGUGAAAUGUUGGGUUAAGUCCCGCAACGAGCGCAACCCUUAUCCUUUGUUGCCAGCGGUCCGGCCGGGAACUCAAAGGAGACUGCCAGUGAUAAACUGGAGGAAGGUGGGGAUGACGUCAAGUCAUCAUGGCCCUUACGACCAGGGCUACACACGUGCUACAAUGGCAUAUACAAAGAGAAGCGACCUCGCGAGAGCAAGCGGACCUCAUAAAGUAUGUCGUAGUCCGGAUUGGAGUCUGCAACUCGACUCCAUGAAGUCGGAAUCGCUAGUAAUCGUAGAUCAGAAUGCUACGGUGAAUACGUUCCCGGGCCUUGUACACACCGCCCGUCACACCAUGGGAGUGGGUUGCAAAAGAAGUAGGUAGCUUAACCUUCGGGAGGGCGCUUACCACUUUGUGAUUCAUGACUGGGGUGAAGUCGUAACAAGGUAACCGUAGGGGAACCUGCGGUUGGAUCACCUCCUUA